AACGAACGCUGGCGGCAGGCUUAACACAUGCAAGUCGAACGCCCCGCAAGGGGAGUGGCAGACGGGUGAGUAACACGUGGGAACGUGCCCUUCGCUUCGGGAUAGCCUCGGGAAACUGGGAGUAAUACCCGAAUACGCCGUAUUGGGAAAGAUUUAUCGGCGAAGGAUCGGCCCGCGUUGGAUUAGCUAGUUGGCGGUGUAAAUGGACCACCAAGGCUACGAUCCAUAGCUGGUCUGAGAGGACGACCAGCCACACUGGGACUGAGACACGGCCCAGACUCCUACGGAGGCAGCAGUGGGAAUCUUGGACAAUGGGCGCAAGCCUGAUCCAGCCAUGCCGCGUGAGUGAAGAAGGCCUUAGGGUUGUAAAACUCUUUCGCCGGUGAAGAUAAUGACGGUAACCGGAGAAGAAGCCCCGGCUAACUUCGUGCCAGCAGCCGCGGUAAU
RNAcentral lists this ribosomal RNA (447 nucleotides) under uncultured bacterium. RNAcentral's name for it is "bacterial SSU rRNA". It matches the Rfam family "Bacterial small subunit ribosomal RNA", at positions 29 to 524 of the family's 1533-position model. The record is from RNAcentral.